RNAcentral lists this ribosomal RNA (300 nucleotides) under Psilaster charcoti. Its description in RNAcentral is "SSU rRNA". It matches the Rfam family "Eukaryotic small subunit ribosomal RNA", at positions 1313 to 1634 of the family's 1831-position model. Lineage: Eukaryota; Metazoa; Echinodermata; Asteroidea; Paxillosida; Astropectinidae. The record is from RNAcentral.
GUCUGGUUAAUUCCGAUAACGAACGAGACUCUGGCUUGCUAAAUAGUCGCGCCGGCCGCCGAGCCGAGCGAUGACUUCUUAGAGGGACAAGUGGCGUUCAGCCACGCGAGAUUGAGCAAUAACAGGUCUGUGAUGCCCUUAGAUGUUCGGGGCCGCACGCGCGCUACACUGAAGGGAUCAGCGGGUGUACGUCCUUGGCCGGAAGGUCUGGGCAAUCCGUUGAACCUCAUUCGUGAUUGGGACAGGGAGUUGCAAUUGUCUCCCUUGAACGAGGAAUUCCCAGUAAGCGCGAGUCAUCAG